RNAcentral lists this ribosomal RNA (775 nucleotides) under uncultured Neocallimastigales. RNAcentral's name for it is "partial large subunit ribosomal RNA". It matches the Rfam family "Eukaryotic large subunit ribosomal RNA", at positions 24 to 614 of the family's 3401-position model. The record is from RNAcentral. Lineage: Eukaryota; Fungi; Neocallimastigomycota; Neocallimastigomycetes; Neocallimastigales.
AUCUCUGUAGAGUCUGCAUAUCAAUAAGCGGAGGAAAAGAAACUAACUAGGAUUCCCUCAGUAACGGCGAGUGAAGCGGGAAGAGCUCAAAUUUGAAAUCUUCAAGGUUUUACCUUGACGAAUUGUAGUUUAAAGAAGUGUUUUCUGUUGGAGUUUUGGUAAAAGUUCUUUGGAAUAGGACAUCAUAGAGGGUGAGAAUCCCGUAUUUGACCAUUAUUUCCAGCUUUGUGAUACACUUUCAACGAGUCGGAUUGUUUGGGAAUAGCAGUCCAAAAUGGGUGGUAAAUUUCAUCUAAAGCUAAAUACUGGCGAGAGACCGAUAGCGAACAAGUACCGUGAGGGAAAGAUGAAAAGGAACUUUGAAAAGAGAGUUAAACAGUACGUGAAAUUGUCAAAAGGGAAGCGUUUGACACCAGUGUUGUUUUCUCGAAAAUCAAUUAAAAAUGGCAGGAUUUUGUGUUGUAUUGACUUUAUCAGCUUUCUGCACUUUUUUCCUGUCUUUUUUAAUGCACUUUUCGUUUAACAAGUCAACAUCAAUUUCUUUUGUUGUAAAAGGGUCAUUGGAAGGUGGCUUUCUUUUCGGAGAAAGUGUUUAUAGCCUUUGGCCUCUGCAAUCGGAGAGAUUGAGGUCUGCAGCGUAGAUCCUUCGGGGUUAGAUACAUUUGUGCUAAGUUAUAGCCUUUCAUAGACAACUUGUUGACUAUGAUCAGUCAUGUAGCUUACUCGCUUAUGCUAUUUUACCUACGCUUAGGAUGUUGAGUCAUCACACAUCUCU